This 234-nucleotide long non-coding RNA is filed under the name Nicotiana benthamiana. RNAcentral describes it as "long non-coding RNA (NBEN_LNC008681)". Lineage: Eukaryota; Viridiplantae; Streptophyta; Magnoliopsida; Solanales; Solanaceae. The record is from RNAcentral.
UAGCAUGGCACGGUGAUAACCAAUCCAUGCCCAGAAUAACAUCAAAAUCAACCAUGCUCAAAAGCAGCAACUCAGCUCGGGUCUCCACACCCUUUAUAGUAACAAGACAGGACCGAUACAUGUGGUCCACAAUAAUAGUAUCACCCACCCUGGUAGAUACAUGCACAUGUAACGCGAGACACCCUCGGGUAGUCCCCAAAUGAUGGAAAAGGUAAGCAGACACAUAAGAAUAUG